CAAUAGCGUAUAUUAAAGUUGUUGCAGUUAAAAAGCUCGUAGUUGGAUUUCUGGUGGGAGCGAUCGGUCUGGCGCUUAGCGCGAGUACUUGCAUCGUCUCCGGCCAUCCUUGGGGAGAGUCUGUCUGGCAUUAAGUUGUCGGGCAGAGGAUCCUCAUCGUUUACUGUGAAAAAAUUAGAGUGUUCAAAGCAGGCUUAUGCCGUUGAAUAUAUUAGCAUGGAAUAAUAAGAUAGGACUUUGGUACUAUUUUGUUGGUUUGCGCACCAAAGUAAUGAUUAAUAGGGACAUUUGGGGGUAUUCGUAUUCCGUUGUCAGAGGUGAAAUUCUUGGAUUUACGGAAGACGAACUACUGCGAAAGCAUUUACCAAGGAUGUUUUCAUUAA
This 383-nucleotide ribosomal RNA is filed under the name uncultured eukaryote. RNAcentral's name for it is "partial 18S ribosomal RNA". It matches the Rfam family "Eukaryotic small subunit ribosomal RNA", at positions 592 to 976 of the family's 1831-position model. The record is from RNAcentral.